AAAAGGUAACACUUCCUCAUACUCUGUCACUCUGAUUGGGGCUGCCUCUAAUGAGUAUCUACAGCACCAUGCAACAAAAUAGCAGACAUUGUCCUAAUCUACUGCCGUCUAACAUGGUAACACAUUUGCUCAUUUGACACAAUCUUCAUCUAAUGAGUCAUGGAUUUUUGAUUCUGGAGCCUCAGAUCAUAUUUUUGGCAACCAAACUCUUUUACCUAUUCUUAAUUUUUUUUUCAGACUUUGCUGAUAUUAUCCUACCUAAUGGAUCAAAAACUAUAGUUAACGGAAUAGGUAAGGCUCACCCUCUUCCUUCCUUACUUUUAAAUUCAGUUUUAUUUGCGCCUAAAUGUCCAUAUAAUUUGAUA
RNAcentral lists this unclassified non-coding RNA (365 nucleotides) under Hevea brasiliensis (rubber tree). Lineage: Eukaryota; Viridiplantae; Streptophyta; Magnoliopsida; Malpighiales; Euphorbiaceae. The record is from RNAcentral.